GAGCAGAGAAAACUUUCAAAAAUGGCUUCGCGAAAUUAAAGAAAAAUCAAUCAAAGGCUUAAUCUUGAAUUGCUAUGUGCGCAAAAAGUUGAAGUUUCAAAACUUGAACUAAGACGAUGUUAAAGAAAAAUCAACGUGAAUCAACACGUGGCGUAAACUUAGUUAGACUAAGAAAAAGUUCUAAGAGAAAACAAAGAAACGCACCACAGAAGGGUGUGGGCAGAAGAGAGGGUAUAAGAGUCUAGAGAGAAUAAGAGUGAACAAGAGAGUGAAGAGAAAAAGAGCAACCCCACUUCACUGGUUUUAUCUUCUCACACUGGGAGUGUUUCCGGGGUGUGUGUGUGAGGAGAAAGGAGGGGUCGUGGAAUCUCUGAUUAUUUGAUCUAACUUAUUCUUUUGGCUGGUAAAAGAGUCAGAUCUGAUACUCACUCACUAUGAUUAAUAUCAUUGAAUGCUAGGUUUCAUGAUAAAUAAUUUGAUACUAAACACAUAUGAAUGAAGUGCAGGAUCACAUCAAACAUUCUCAUUAUGUUUUAAGUAUCACAUUGAACAUGCUAAAUUACUCUGAAAUGAAACAGAUAGUAACACAUGGAAACUGUGAACAACAAAAGAGUAAACACAUGUGAAUGAACGUCAUCAUGAUUAAUAAUGGAUUCUAAAUACUCACAUUCAGAUUAUUCAAUGACAUUAUAACCACCUAAUGGUUAAAAAUACUAAAUAAACAUCUACAAUAUAAACCAAACAUUUCUAAACUAUUUCUGUGUUCAUAGAGUAAGUUAUGAUCCAUAGUCAAUAAAUUAAACUCUUAACAGUUCAUGAAACAGUCUGAAAAGCUGUUGGUCUAAAGAAACUAAAGAGCGAUAACUCGGCUUCUGGAGCACAUAGAAAAACGGGAAACAUCUCAUUUUAACACAAAUUUCAUGAUUAGACAGAUUAGUACAUUGCUGAAUGCAUAAGAUGUCAUGAUCAGUCAUUUGUAUUCUUUCACCAACGGAAUGUAGUCUUUAUCAGUGCAUGGUCGAGCAGGGUUUUACGACCGAGGUCUGGAGGUCAGUGUCCCCCCUUUUCCUGGGGUCCGUAUGUUCACACACUUUAAGACGCUAAAUCUCAAAUGGGAGAUCUGGGUUGAGGUUAAUGUUUAUUUAGAUGGUCAGCGAUGGAGUCAGUUUGAAAGGUAAUAAAAACUCUGUCUCUGUUCUCCGAAUCAACCAAUCGUGAAGAGUCAGAGGUUUAGUCAACCUCCGGUUGGGUCACUUAUUUAACCUGAAAGUGUAAACGAGUCUGGAAAGAUUUAUAUCCUGUUUCCUGGGACCAGAUAAGGAAACUUUCCUCUGAGGAAUGUGUGGGUUUCACACCCAGGGUUGUCUUGAUUGCUACAGUCCCCCCUUCGUCACGGUGGUCCUGUCUAUGGAGCAUCGGGACGACGAGUAGACAACCAUGAAGCAGCAGCAGCAGCAGGUAUAUGCAAAUAGGACUGAUGCGUCUCAUCGUCACUAUGUGAAUCACUAGGACUGCUUUGAGAUAAAAUUAAGCAUGCAUUAAGCUAUCAAAUAAAAUCGUCUAGUUUUUAGACUUUUCUCAGUUAACUAUUGGUAGACUAAUGUGAAAGAAAAUCUCCUAAUUUUUAGUAUUAAUGAGAUUUAGAAAAGCACUCUUUAGUCUGAAUGCUAACUGGAUCUAAAGCUAUAGCUGUUUUUCACGCUUGCUGGAGAAGUCUGAAAGUUCCAUUUCAGUUUCAAAAAUGGUUAAGACUUUGGUGGAAAAGAAAUGUCUGCUAUAGACAUAUUAACCAUCUGUGUAUGAGCAUAGUCAACCUGAAUCACAAACAUCAAAAGUUUACUGCACAGAGUUUCUCUUAAGCUUUGUCUGUUAAACUUGGGGAUGAUGCUCUUAUUGGUUUGACUAAUUAUCUGCUGUUGAGUCUGAAAUUUGUCAAUCUGAGUCUCAAUGACAGAAAUUUCAGCUUUUAAUCUGUUCAUGGGAUAUUUGACAGCUGACAAGCUGACCAUAUUGACAGAGGAGAGACAAAUGCUAACAAAGAAAGCAGCAACUGGGUUGCAGUCAUCAAUGUAUCACCACAGCAUUUGGAUAUCUUAUGGGAGUCAUUUAGCUUUGGCUGGGUGACUUCUGCUUUCGCAGGACUCACGCCUUCAUGACUCCACAGUGUUAAUCUCAGUGGUUAGCUGAGUGGUCAUGUUUAUUCACCUUCAAAGUGGAUGAAACCGAUUGAGGUGGAUAAUAAGAUCGUCGUUUCGAGAUCGAGUGUGAUUUACUCUGAUUCUGCCAGUCAUUCACCCCCCUUUGGCGGUGUUGAUGGUUUUUCCUUUGUCUAGGAUAAAACCCACCGUGACAGGAGUCUGAAUAACAACAGUUGGUCUCAAAGUUUACCCGGCAUUGGUCUGUGUCAGACCUGGGCCUUGGUGUGUAACUUUGACCUUUGUGAGUUUGUUGAGGUCGAAAAGGUUUUGGAGGCCAGGUUAACCACUCAUUUGGAGGCUUAUCGGAGCCUGAAAAUACACAGUCUGAAGUUUCGUUCAGCUCCAUGGGCAGUGAUUUUGUCUCCAUAGCCAAGAGAGUAACGGGCUCUGCCUUCUUAGCCAAAGUUUGUCGUUGUUUGGCAAAACCUUUUACAGCAAGUUCACGAAGCUGUCGGCUAGUCAAAGUGUUUGGACAAGCUAAGACGCCAAGGUGAUGACUGGUGGUAGGGUGGAGGUUCUGGACCAACAGCGUUUUGAAGUUCAAGUCCUCCUCCAUUUCUGGUUCAUUUCGGAAACCAAAGUAAGCUUCGCGUAAGCGGUUGUAAUAUUGUUGGGGAGAUUCUGAUCUCCCUUGUUUAAUAGACAGAGCAGCAGAAAGGCCUGUCUGGGUCAAAUAAUCAGAAAACUCUUCAAUUAAUGCUUGGCAGAGCAAGUCAUAAUUAUUUCUGACAUGAUAAGGCUGUUGUUCAUGGAAACUGCUAACCUCUCGACUUGACGUCGCCUUAAUAAGGUAGAUUUUGUCAUCAAUGGUGGCACCUGGAAAUUUCCUCAGGUAAAAGUCAAUGUCUUUCAAGUAGGUGCAGGUGUCAGUAGCACCUUGGUGCUCAGGUUCAAAGCGUGCUACGUUGCGAGCAAUUUUGUCAAGAUCCCUAUCUGAGGGAGAUGGUAAGAAGCCAUCAUGAGGAGGAGAGUAGGACUUUUGGCUUAAGGAUGACCUCUCAGGGUCAAGCAGGGUCCUGUCAUGAUGCUGAGAGAGAUACUUAAGAGUUGGUUUGGAAGGAAGUGAUGGCGCUCUCUCAGGAGGCUGAUCACCUAUCAUUUCUUCAAGAAAUGUUUGCUCCAUGCGUUCUCUUUGGGCUCGACCUGACUGGAGGGAGCAUUGUAACUCUCUUUGGGCAUCUUCAAGUUCUUUGUCUGUCUUUUCUUGCCGUUCUUGACAAAGAAUUAACUGUCUCUGAGCUAUCUGUAGCUGGUGCUGUAAGGUAGAAGUUUGCUUCUCCUUAACUUCAAGAGCUUCAGCACGCACUUUGACCAGUGCUUUCAAAGCAUUUACAUCUUCUGUUGCUUGCUCUAGUAGGGAUUCUGACUGUAUCAGAUCCUCUGUGGUCUUAGCAAGCUGCUUAUUCGUGUCAUCAAGUUCUUUCUCCUUUUUGUAAAGGGUUUCAUUAAGUCUUUCAAUCUUGUCUUUGAGAUCAAGAUUUUCUUCAUGACUUAUCAGUGAGGGAAGCUUUGACGCUUCACAUCUGGCACUGUGUUUUUCUAAAACACUUAGAGACUUCUUAGUCUCCUCUAGCGUCUUUUUCAGUGCGCUGUUUUCAUCUUUUUGCGUCUUUAUCUUUGCUAAAGCGCAUUCCAGCAAGUAGUCUUUAUACUCAAGCUGAGAAGACAUCACGACAGACAUGCAUCUAGUGAGCUCUUUGUCACGCAGUGUCGUGGUUAAGGCUGUUUCCAGUAAGUCAGCCAUUGCAUCCUCCGGAUUGGAGGGUUUGGCCUUUCGAAUCUUAGUCAUGUACUGAGGUAUCAGCUGACUAGUCAAGUUUGCCAACACUGUGUGUAUGUCCCUCAGGGGGUCUCCCUGGCUGGACUCUUUUGUGUUAGGCAUGUUUGGUUUUGGUAAAGAGGUGCAGCUGGUUGGUUGAUGAGUUUGAGUUGACUUAAAAUGAAAGGAAGAAGCACAAUAUCAAAUUAAGUGGGUUAAUCGACUUAAUUUAUCAGUGCUUGAUAAAGAGGAAGAGCCUAUCUGAGUAGAUAUCUAAUGGAGAGAAAAAAAACAUUAAGUUAAAUUCAUUUCAAUAAAAAUUGAAAGAAAAACAAGGUGAAAUAAUGUUAAAUUAAAUUUAACAUCAGAUACAGAACCAUUGAAUAAAGGGUUCAAUUUGUCUCCGUGUUGCAGAGAUCGGCAAAGCUUAAAUAAACUGCCUGAUGCAGUUGGAUGAAUUUGAAAAAUCAAUGAAAUUGUCAAUUUAAGGAAUUAACUCUGAAGUUAAUUCACAAAUUGCAAUAAAUCCAAAGGUUCAACUACCAAAUCCAUCUGGAGUGUUAAAAGAAAUUUCAAAUAUUAAUUAAUUUGUUCAUUAAUUAAUUAAUCAAUCUUAUGAGGAGGGUUAAUACAUUCACGUAUUAUAGGGAACAGUAAAACUGCUCACUGGUGUGAUAAGUAACAACAGAUCAGGUGAUUGAUUCAAGGAGUUACUUCAUCAAUACAUCAUGGAGGCUCUUAUAACAAAGAUAAAAAUCAAAAUCAAUGAUCAGUGAUUUAGAAUAAGCACAUCAAACUUCAUCAACCAAGUCAAUCACUUGAAUUAUGUCUGUAGAGUGUUACACACUGACUACAGAGAGGCAGUACAGCUGGCUGAUACUGCAGGCAGAUAAUAGCAGUGUUAGCUCAAUACCAAAAGCAACCAUGUGGGGCAGUAUGGAGUUGGGAGAACUGCACAAGCUCAACACAAGUAGAGAAGAAGAAGAAAAGAGGAAACAGUCAUCCAACUAGCCUCUCGUGGCUGUGUGAAGUUGGGAAGCAUGAGGGAAGGGGCCUUUAGGCUCUGCCUCCUUGAAGGGCCUUAUCUGCUUAAGGCCAAAAGGUCAGUCUCUCCACUGACAACAAAGGGUUAACAUUUCACAGCAGGCUGCAUCUGCACCCUCAGACAUAGAACUUUACACCAUCUGCUCAGGCAGAUUGGUUCAAUAGAAUCAUUUACAGGAACAAGAAUCAAAGUGACAAAUCCUUAAACAGCAGAUUCAACUGCAAACUUAAAAUCACAAAUGCAGCGAUUUGUGAACACAAAUUUUGUCUGAAUUCAAUCAAACAACAACCUCCCACUGUUACAGUGGUUUCCUGUGACAGGUAGCUAAUCUGUCAGGGGAAAGGAGGAAAUCUGAAUCCCAUAUAGUUACUAGAACCUCGUAGCAGACUAUAGAGACUUCAGGGGCUUGAAACCACAGCUCGGAGCAUCGCGAACACUGGGUUCAGCCAAAGGCCUUAAAUACAAGCGUACGGCGACGCAACAAUCGUGCACUUAAAUAUUGGACAGUCUAGACAGAGCAGAAGAAGCAGUCUCACUGCUACUCAGAACAACAUUUCACGCUGUCCAGCUCAAACACAGACUACAGGCAUGUAGUACAAAAGUGUGUGAAACACAGAGCACAAAGGUUUUAUGCAUAGAUCAGGAAAACAUCAGAACUUAGUCAAGCAACUUCAGCAAGCAUAGCAUUGAUUGUGAUUAAGUCUAAAAUAGCCGGGAAAUAAGUUUCUCUCAUCAAUUUGGAAGCUAAGUUUUAGGUUGUCUGUUAGUAUCCAGAAGUUUUGUUUGAAACGCCUCACACGGGGCACCAAAAUAUAUGUAGUGAUUUAAAUGAGCCUCACACGGUCGCACCAAAAUAUAUGCAGCGAUUUGAAAUGAGCCUCACAAGGCCGCACCAAAAUAAUACUGUAGCGAUUGGAAUUUAUAAUAAAUUGUCUGAAGAUUAAUAAUCUUAAAUUAUGACAUUUAUGCACUCGUUCAAAGGGGCACCACCCACCCUUAAUGGUGGGAAAAUAAAGAAAACAAAAGUUUAAUUCAGAAAUCAAACAUCAAGUCAGUUUUAAUUAAUCAGUUUUAAUUAAUCAGUCUCAUAUCUUAAGUCGAAAUUCUAAUUUCAGGGACUCCACUUCUGGAAGAACACUAACAGACCAGAACUUAGAAAAAUAAUUAUCUGUUUAUUACAGGAUAAAUGAUGGUACAACACACAUGCAAUAAAUGAUGAUAAGAUAAUGAAGAUAAAUAAUAAUAGGUGAAUAAAUAAAGAUUCUGAGUCAGACUAGGAGCACUAAAGUUAAUGAUAGUGAGUGAAUAUGCGCUAACAUAUUAACCUACACUAACUUUGGUGUCGAGAUAAACUCGGAUGUGGAUUUGGAGGAAUCUAAGAUUACCAGAAUAAGUGGAUAUCUGAGUUAUGAACGCAGGAGACAGCACCAGCCCUCUUUGGAGCUCUGGAGGUUUGCAUACUUAAGUGAGACUGGUCCUUGGAGAAGAUAGAGCAGGUUCCGAAGGUCCGGGGCUACUGGCGGUUCAAGGGGUUCAGCUCUGAAGACGACUGAAGUCAGCCGAAGGAUGAGCCAGGAGUUGCAGCACUCGGGCCCGAAGCAAAGCCAGCGCCUGUGGCUCCUGUGGAUGCUCGUUUGGGUACUUCUUUGGUCUCACUCAAAACUCUGGCACAGAGGAUGACCUGGGCCUGCUGGGUUGCGUUCAGAGGUAACUUGAAAUCACGCAGAUAACUCAGAAAAACGAGACUCGAGCAGAGAAAACUUUCAAAAAUGGCUUCGCGAAAUUAAAGAAAAAUCAAUCAAAGGCUUAAUCUUGAAUUGCUAUGUGCGCAAAAAGUUGAAGUUUCAAAACUUGAAUUAAGACGAUGUUAAAGAAAAAUCAACGUGAAUCAACACGUGGCGUAAACUUAGUUAGACUAAGAAAAAGUUCUAAGAGAAAACAAAGAAACGCACCACAGAAGG
This is a non-coding RNA of Xyrichtys novacula (pearly razorfish), 6963 nucleotides long. The record is from the annotation of a GenBank genome assembly. NCBI's taxonomy places the organism in Eukaryota, Metazoa, Chordata, Actinopteri, Labriformes, Labridae.